UAGAACGCUGAAGCUUGGUGCUUGCACCGAGCGGAUGAGUUGCGAACGGGUGAGUAACGCGUAGGUAACCUGCCUGGUAGCGGGGGAUAACUAUUGGAAACGAUAGCUAAUACCGCAUAAAAUGGAUUAUCGCAUGAUAAUUCAUUGAAAGGUGCAAAUGCAUCACUACCAGAUGGACCUGCGUUGUAUUAGCUAGUUGGUGGGGUAACGGCUCACCAAGGCGACGAUACAUAGCCGACCUGAGAGGGUGAUCGGCCACACUGGGACUGAGACACGGCCCAGACUCCUACGGGAGGCAGCAGUAGGGAAUCUUCGGCAAUGGACGAAAGUCUGACGGAGCAACGCCGCGUGAGUGAAGAAGGUUUUCGGAUCGUAAAGCUCUGUUGUAAGAGAAGAACGAGUGUGAGAGUGGAAAGUUCACACUGUGACGGUAUCUUACCAGAAGGGGACGGCUAACUACGUGCCAGCAGCCGCGGUAAUACGUAGGUCCCGAGCGUUGUCCGGAUUUAUUGGGCGUAAAGCAAGCGCAGGCGGUUAGAUAAGUCUGAAGUUAAAGGCUGUGGCUUAACCAUAGUACGCUUUGGAAACUGUUUAACUUGAGUGCAAGAGGGGAGAGUGGAAUUCCAUGUGUAGCGGUGAAAUGCGUAGAUAUAUGGAGGAACACCAGUGGCGAAGGCGGCUCUCUGGUCUGUAACUGACGCUGAGGCUCGAAAGCGUGGGGAGCAAACAGGAUU
Molecule: ribosomal RNA, 734 nt
Filed under: uncultured Streptococcus sp.
Lineage: Bacteria; Bacillati; Bacillota; Bacilli; Lactobacillales; Streptococcaceae
Description: bacterial SSU rRNA
Rfam family: Bacterial small subunit ribosomal RNA
Source: RNAcentral